CAUUACCGUGCCUCGUCGGGACGCCCCCGGGCGUUCCCGCACCGGCCACCCGUGUCUACCGAACCUCUGUUGCCUCGGCGGGCCCGCCGCCCCGGACCGCUUUGUCCGGGGGGGCCGCCGGGGACGCCUUCACCGCGCCCCGGGCCCGUGCCCGCCGCAGGGACUCUCGAACUCGUGUGAAGCAAAGUGAGACAGGAGUCUGAGAACCAAUCAAAUGCAGUUAAAACUUUCAACAACGGAUCUCUUGGUUCCGGCAUCGAUGAAGAACGCAGCGAAAUGCGAUAAGUAAUGUGAAUUGCAGAAUUCCGUGAAUCAUCGAAUCUUUGAACGCACAUUGCGCCCUCUGGUAUUCCGGGGGGCAUGCCUGUCCGAGCGUCAUUGUGACCCCCUCAAGCCCGGCUUGUGUGAUGGGCCAGCGUCCCUCGCCUCCGCGCGGGGGACGGGCCUGAAAGGCAGCGGCGACGUCCACCGCCUGACCGGAACGCAUGGGGACUUCUGUCACGCGUUUCAGGUGGCGGGUCGGCGUCGGCCUCGUCUUGCAUCGUCAACCCCUUCAACCGUUGACCUCGGAUCAGGUAGGGAUACCCG
RNAcentral lists this ribosomal RNA (588 nucleotides) under Diploospora rosea. RNAcentral's name for it is "eukaryotic LSU rRNA". The stretch from base 225 to 378 matches the Rfam family "5.8S ribosomal RNA". The record is from RNAcentral. Lineage: Eukaryota; Fungi; Ascomycota; Eurotiomycetes; Onygenales.